UCCACUCCAGCUUGCCAUCAAAAGUAAACAUUCUAUAUGUAUACAGGCCAUCACAUCAGUGCUCUUUGCAUUCCAAGGCGCAAACAGAGAAAUAACUUAUUUCUCAACUCCACGCACGCUACGGUGUGAUCAAAGGAUUCAAUCAUUACUUUAUUUCUCACCAAAUUAAGUCUACAACUCAUGUUGCCGUGAAAACUAUAACCUGUCAUAUGGUGCAGCAGAAUCAGACACACAAAGGCAUUGGAGGCAUGAGGUAGAAAGCCUUACUUGAGGAAACAGAUGAUUAUGAUAUGCCCGUAGUAGAAUCUGUAAGUAACAAACCCCCAACCGAAGAGCAUCCUUUCUGCAAGAAAGCAACCACAAGAAAAGGGUAAUUUAUAUAUAAUCAGUAGCAGUACUUAAAGAAAAAGGAAGUGAACGAUCUAUAAGAAGAGGAUAAGAGCAACACUUACAAGAUUGCUGUAGUGAAUCAUGCACAAGAGCAUCUAUUAUGCAAGUAAGGAACUAACAAGAAUCAAUGAAUACAGCAUCUUUAAGCCUGAGAUGGAUACUGAAGCUGUAAACGAUGGUAAAAGUAGUAGAUAAGUAGUAUAAGCAAGUUUCAGCCAAAGCAAGGCUGCUAAUUGCUAAAACUAUGAGAAGCUAAAAGAGAGAGAGACUUCAAUCUAAAAGCAGAAAGAGGGGACAAUCUAAGAUCCAUUUGUUUAGUGUUACCACUGUCUACAGAAUCGGUUCUGUGAAAACUAGAUCCAAUAACAACUGUUAUCAAAGGAUUUAAUCACACUAUUUUCUUUCUCACCAAUCAACUGAUGAUGGAUGUUAGUAUAUUACUUGCCCUUGGUUCACCCGCUUACCACAAUAAUUGGUCCAUGUAACGGUUCUCCACUUGGUAUAGUGUUACACCUCUUAGAGAUUCCAUGUACCAGAGUUUAUCUCCCAUUUGCAUUACCUCGUUAUGCUUAACCUGUGUACUAACAAACUCAAUCCUAGAAAAUGAUCACAUCAAUAAGAAGAAAGAUCAAUUUAUUUUUUAAACCUUUCACAUGCGUCUAACUCCAUCUUCAGCAUCUCUAAAACUCCAUCCAUCUCAACGUGCCACAAAGAAUCAAUCAAACUGCGAUGAAUACAAUCCAAAUGUACAACCAAAAUGAGAUUCGAUACAAAGUUUCACCGGAGACACUCAGAAGGCCCUUUCUGAAAUGAGACUUGUUCGACAUAGCAAGCCCUGCUGGUGAUUAUGAGGCACACGAUAGACUGUGGAAUCUCGCAUGAAAGUCGCUCAGAUCUGAGUUAACGAGUCUACUCGACCCGGUUUAUAUAUAACUUACUAGGUGUACCCCGUACUGCGUACGGGCAAAUAAAAUAAUAAAAUUAUUAUGUUAAAAUAGUAUGGUUUGUAGCCAAGUUUAGUGAAUGGUAAAUUUGGUGAUACUCAACGUAUUCCAAU
This 1447-nucleotide long non-coding RNA is filed under the name Brassica rapa (field mustard). Its description in RNAcentral is "long non-coding RNA (BRAP_LNC004257)". The record is from RNAcentral. Lineage: Eukaryota; Viridiplantae; Streptophyta; Magnoliopsida; Brassicales; Brassicaceae.